AGGUGUUGACAUCAUAUGUCAAAUGCAUGUUAUACCCCAUCUAAUGCCUUAGGCCCAAAACCAUUUUGAUAGCCUAAUUAGGUCCAACCAAAAUUAAAUAGAUGAGUAACUAUUACUCAUCCUAUCUUACUAAGAUAACCUAAGCACUUUGUUUUGGCAAAACCUGCAUUUUGGUGAUCUUAGUCUUGAUAGGUAUUUAAUAUAUGGGUCGCAUUAAAACUUAAAAUUUAGAGUGAGGGUUCAACUUUUAAUUUUAAUUAUUUUGUCUUGCAUAUAUAUAUUAUAGCAU
Molecule: long non-coding RNA, 289 nt
Filed under: Manihot esculenta (cassava)
Lineage: Eukaryota; Viridiplantae; Streptophyta; Magnoliopsida; Malpighiales; Euphorbiaceae
Description: long non-coding RNA (MESC_LNC010311)
Source: RNAcentral